This is a long non-coding RNA of Durio zibethinus, 1773 nucleotides long. RefSeq lists it as uncharacterized. NCBI's taxonomy places the organism in Eukaryota, Viridiplantae, Streptophyta, Magnoliopsida, Malvales, Malvaceae. The record is from RefSeq and is a predicted model, not a curated record.
CACGUGCGACAAGGGAUAUCAUCUGUUUUGCCUUGGACCCAUUCUUGUUUCGGUGCCUAAGGCUUUUGGUUCUGUCUCUCUUGCUUCAACAUCAAGAAACCCCAAUGUAACAUUAGAAAAAGAAAGAGAGCUAGUGGCUUAGCCAUGUCAAAGAAGAAAAGGAAAUUGUUGGCAUUUUAUCCAACAGAAGACACUCAAAGGAGAUUGGGACAAAUAGCAUCAUUGGCAACAGCACUGAAUGCCUCUGGGACCGAGUACAGUGAUGAGCUCAUCUACAGGCCUGGCAUGGCACUAAGGUCAGCAAAUUGUGCAGCUCUUGAGAAGGGAGGAAUGCCGGGAAUGGAAAAUUCACUCCUUUCAAGUAAUUCACUUAAAAAUUAAAUAGUAUAGUAUGAGAUUUGCAGGCACGAUUAGGCUGAUUAGAAGUGAGUCACCUUAUCCAUUAGGCCAUGGUUGCCUCUUAUAACUGAAACUCCAUUACUACAUUUUAUAACUCCUACGAUUAAUUUUGAUGAAUUGCAUUUCAGGUUCUACCCAAAGAAGAUAAAGAGACCUUAAAUUUAUGCAAGAGGAUGAUGGAAAAAGGGGAAUGACCUGUGGAAGGGUUCACUGUACAGGCUGAUAGAUAUAUAAAGGAUUUAACUAUAAUUACAGAAUAUGUUGGAGAUGUUGAUUACUUGAAGAACCAUGAACAUGAUGAUGGAGAUAGCAUGAUGACCCUGCUUCAUGGAUCAAAUCGUUCAAAAAGCCUGGCAGGCAUGGUAGCAUUGCCCGCUUUGUCAAUGGCAUUAACAACUUCUCACCCUAAGUUGAUCUUCAACAUGUUUUUGUUCUUUGGCCUGUUCAGAUGUACUAAACUCGACUUGUAUAGUAUAAAAGUAUUGUUUAUCUUAAUGCAGGGAUGGUAGAAAGAAGCAAGAUGUAAAAUGUGUUAAGAUAUGAUGUCAAUGGGGAAUAUCGAGUUUUGCUGAUUGCUAACAGAGAUAUUCCGAAAAGGAGAAAAAUUGUACUAUGAUUACAAUGGAUAUGAGAAUGAAUACCCUGCAGAACAUUGUGUAGCUUUUAAGUUCUCCCUGAUUACUGAUUCCCAUACUAGGAUAUAGCUGAUGCAAUUAAUUUAUAAAGUUAGCAAGCUAAUUGUAUGCACAUGAUUGCUUGUCCCUGGUUCCAUAGUUUUUUGUAACUCAUUUAAGCCCUUUUCUUUGAGGGUUUAACAUUUUGUUCAAUAAGGAAAUCCAAUUUUUGAUCCUAUAUCUAUGUACUUUUUCCACUUUUUUCUUCUCUAAAAAAUAAAGUUUGGGUUGGACAUUUUUUAGUCGGAAAAAGUCUGGGUUAGAGGAGGUUGUUUCCUUUCACGAUCGGAGGGUAAGUUUAAGAGAUGAUUUUCAUUGAAAUCUAAACCUACGAAGUAUAGGAGAAUGGCUCAAAAAUCUUACUUUAUCAGGCCUUUGUGUUCAAAGCCCAUUUGUUUACUUUCUAUCCAAGGCCUCUUCAAAGCUAAUGUUUUCGACGAAUGAAAUUUGAUCAAAGCAACUCAUCUGCGCUAACUUCAGGUGUGAGAUGCAUUAUAUAUAGACAAGAUCUGAUAUUGAAUGUUAUGUGGAUGACCAGAUUAUACCAGAGCUAAAGCUACGUUGGGAAGUUCAAAUUUUCAAAUCCUUGCUUAGAGCAUCAGCUUCUUGUUUUCUUCUCAACAGAGUACGCUUAGCAAUAUUACUGCAACUAAUAAAGCAAUCCAGUUAAAACCCUCCACUCCAGUUGGACGAGAUCUAA